Molecule: long non-coding RNA, 655 nt
Filed under: Pongo abelii (Sumatran orangutan)
Lineage: Eukaryota; Metazoa; Chordata; Mammalia; Primates; Hominidae
Description: lincRNA
Source: RNAcentral
GGUAGCUUCCUUGUCUUGUGGCCUCAGUCUUUCGCCGUGUCUCGCCGUCCCUCGCCAUCGCACGCCAUCGCACGCCACCGCACCCCUUCUCUCGAAAUCUGUAGACAUCUUGAUUUUUCCCACGCUGUCUGUCAGGUCUCCGCCGCCACUCGACGCCAGGGCGCCGGGUGAGUCCACAGCAGGGCGCGUGGUCUGCUCCACUCUCACCAUCGGGGGAAACUGAGGCCCCGGGGAAGGCGGCCAGAGAGAUCAGGCCCGGUCCCUGGUGCAGUGCCUCGUCCUCUUUGCCGGAGUGAGCUCCCCAGGAUUCGCGUGUCCUCGGGAAAACACUGGCGGGAGUGUCACAUGACUGUCACCCCAUGUGUGUGAGAGGUGUCCUCUGGGAGAGCAUGGACCCUGAGGUCCCAGGAUUGUCAGCUGACCUCUGUCCUGUGUGCCCAGUGGCCCCAGGUGACGUGUCUUCAAGAAGAGGCUGAGCUGUGGUGCUUGUAAGGGUCUCUGUCACCCAGGCUGGAGUGCAGUGGUGCGGUGAUGGCUCACUGCAGCCUCAGUCUGGGCUCAAGUGAUCCUCCACCUCAGCUUCCCUGGUAGCUGGGACCACAGAGUCAUGUGCAUGACUCCUGGGGCUUGGAUGAUGUAGGGGAAGCAAGGUGAA